GAUUGAACGCUGGCGGCAGGCCUAACACAUGCAAGUCGAGCGGUAACAGAAAGUAGCUUGCUACUUUGCUGACGAGCGGCGGACGGGUGAGUAAUGCUUGGGAACAUGCCUUGAGGUGGGGGACAACAGUUGGAAACGACUGCUAAUACCGCAUAAUGUCUACGGACCAAAGGGGGCUUCGGCUCUCGCCUUUAGAUUGGCCCAAGUGGGAUUAGCUAGUUGGUGAGGUAAUGGCUCACCAAGGCGACGAUCCCUAGCUGGUUUGAGAGGAUGAUCAGCCACACUGGGACUGAGACACGGCCCAGACUCCUACGGGAGGCAGCAGUGGGGAAUAUUGCACAAUGGGCGCAAGCCUGAUGCAGCCAUGCCGCGUGUGUGAAGAAGGCCUUCGGGUUGUAAAGCACCUUCAGUCAGGAGGAAAGGUUAGUAGUUAAUACCUGCUAGCUGUGACGUUACUGACAGAAGAAGCACCGGCUAACUCCG
Molecule: ribosomal RNA, 483 nt
Filed under: uncultured Pseudoalteromonas sp.
Lineage: Bacteria; Pseudomonadati; Pseudomonadota; Gammaproteobacteria; Alteromonadales; Pseudoalteromonadaceae
Description: bacterial SSU rRNA
Rfam family: Bacterial small subunit ribosomal RNA
Source: RNAcentral